GACGAGGAGCUUGCUCCUCUGACGUUAGCGGCGGACGGGUGAGUAACACGUGGAUAACCUACCUAUAAGACUGGGAUAACUUCGGGAAACCGGAGCUAAUACCGGAUAAUAUAUUGAACCGCAUGGUUCAAUAGUGAAAGACGGUUUUGCUGUCACUUAUAGAUGGAUCCGCGCCGCAUUAGCUAGUUGGUAAGGUAACGGCUUACCAAGGCAACGAUGCGUAGCCGACCUGAGAGGGUGAUCGGCCACACUGGAACUGAGACACGGUCCAGACUCCUACGGGAGGCAGCAGUAGGGAAUCUUCCGCAAUGGGCGAAAGCCUGACGGAGCAACGCCGCGUGAGUGAUGAAGGUCUUCGGAUCGUAAAACUCUGUUAUUAGGGAAGAACAAAUGUGUAAGUAACUAUGCACGUCUUGACGGUACCUAAUCAGAAAGCCACGGCUAACUACGUGCCAGCAGCCGCGGUAAUACGUAGGUGGCAAGCGUUAUCCGGAAUUAUUGGGCGUAAAGCGCGCGUAGGCGGUUUUUUAAGUCUGAUGUGAAAGCCCACGGCUCAACCGUGGAGGGUCAUUGGAAACUGGAAAACUUGAGUGCAGAAGAGGAAAGUGGAAUUCCAUGUGUAGCGGUGAAAUGCGCAGAGAUAUGGAGGAACACCAGUGGCGAAGGCGACUUUCUGGUCUGUAACUGACGCUGAUGUGCGAAAGCGUGGGGAUCAAACAGGAUUAGAUACCCUGGUAGUCCACGCCGUAAACGAUGAGUGCUAAGUGUUAGGGGGGUUUCCGCCCCUUAGUGCUGCAGCUAACGCAUUAAGCACUCCGCCUGGGGAGUACGACCGCAAGGUUGAAACUCAAAGGAAUUGACGGGGGACCCGCACAAGCGGUGGGAGCAUGUG
Molecule: ribosomal RNA, 892 nt
Filed under: Staphylococcus epidermidis
Lineage: Bacteria; Bacillati; Bacillota; Bacilli; Caryophanales; Staphylococcaceae
Description: bacterial SSU rRNA
Rfam family: Bacterial small subunit ribosomal RNA
Source: RNAcentral